AUGUCCAGUCCAGGUGACUACGGCUUUCCAUCAACACACGAUAUCAACAGGAGCUCCAGGAACGGCCAGGGUGGCGGCAGUGGUCGAGAGGUGGGCGUGGCUCGGAUCGGCAGUGGCGACCGUCAUCUUCCUUUGGUCCAUGGUGUAGAACUACGUGCCCCCCAAUCUUCCGCCUCUACCUCACCAGCUGGGCCGCCAAGCUCGCGGCCUGCUUCAACCCCUACCUCCAGAUCGCCAUCUCCGAGUACGACACUGAGCGCUUCCAGCGUAGCGACUUCUUCCCUACCGUCGAAGCCUAACUCAGUGAUGCCUGCGCCCGCGCCAUGCACAAGCUCAAGGCCGAGCUCGGCAAAGACAGAAGAACCUUCGGAUCUUUGUUGA
This 381-nucleotide ribosomal RNA is filed under the name Triticum aestivum (bread wheat). RNAcentral's name for it is "partial small subunit ribosomal RNA". The record is from RNAcentral. Lineage: Eukaryota; Viridiplantae; Streptophyta; Magnoliopsida; Poales; Poaceae.